Molecule: ribosomal RNA, 366 nt
Filed under: uncultured organism
Description: bacterial SSU rRNA
Rfam family: Bacterial small subunit ribosomal RNA
Source: RNAcentral
CGGAGGAUCCAAGCGUUAUCCGGAAUCAUUGGGUUUAAAGGGUCCGUAGGCGGUUUAGUAAGUCAGUGGUGAAAGCCCAUCGCUCAACGGUGGAACGGCCAUUGAUACUGCUAGACUUGAAUAAUUAGGAAGUAACUAGAAUAUGUAGUGUAGCGGUGAAAUGCUUAGAGAUUACAUGGAAUACCAAUUGCGAAGGCAGGUUACUACUAGUUCAUUGACGCUGAUGGACGAAAGCGUGGGUAGCGAACAGGAUUAGAUACCCUGGUAGUCCACGCCGUAAACGAUGGAUACUAGCUGUUGGGGGCAACUUCAGUGGCUAAGCGAAAGUGAUAAGUAUCCCACCCGGGGAGUACGUUCGCAAGAAUG